CCAAUAUACUUAUCACAGUGUGUCCCUGUGGACACUCACACAGAUUGGAUUCAGGGCAGAGUCACUGGAACCACCAUGAAGAGGCACAGGUGACAGAGAUGAAGGUUUGUACAGGAUCUCUGAGGAGUGAACAGGGAGACUUGUCCCAUCGCCUGCCUUUCACGCCUGCGCUGUCCUUGGGAAAGGAAGCAGGCACCACCUGAUUUACCCAGGAGAACUGAGAGGGACCUUGCCCACAAGAGCACGGUUUUCAGAAAACCAAACAUGGAAAUGUGAAGACGCUACCCUGUCUGUGGGCCUCCUGCCGGGCUGUGGGAACAGGAGAGCUGUGAACCCAGGGAAGCAAUAUAAGAAGAGGGCCUACCCAUAAAUUUGCCUAUAUGUCCUGGAGUUGGAGUUAAAGAUGUGGUGCACAGAAUGAAAUGGUGGAAGCUGAAAAUCAGCAGGGCACAGGCAUUGCCUAUUCCUCUCUCCUCCUGCAGCCAGAGUUACG
RNAcentral lists this long non-coding RNA (493 nucleotides) under Cricetulus griseus (Chinese hamster). RNAcentral describes it as "lncRNA (ENSCGRG00015030452.1)". Lineage: Eukaryota; Metazoa; Chordata; Mammalia; Rodentia; Cricetidae. The record is from RNAcentral.